RNAcentral lists this ribosomal RNA (472 nucleotides) under uncultured bacterium. RNAcentral's name for it is "partial 16S ribosomal RNA". It matches the Rfam family "Bacterial small subunit ribosomal RNA", at positions 28 to 507 of the family's 1533-position model. The record is from RNAcentral.
GACGAACGCUGGCGGCGUGCUUAACACAUGCAAGUCGAACGCUGACGCUUGGUGCUUGCACUGGGUGGAUGAGUGGCGUACGGGUGAGUAAUACGUGAGUAACCUGGCCUUGACUCUGGGAUAAGCCUGGGAAACUGGAUCUAAUACUGGAUACGACAUGUCACCGCAUGGUGGUGUGUGGAAAGGGUUUUACUGGUUUUGGAUGGGCUCACGGCCUAUCAGCUUGUUGGUGGGGUAAUGGCCCACCAAGGCGACGACGGGUAGCCGGCCUGAGAGGGUGACCGGCCACACUGGGACUGAGACACGGCGCAGACGCGUACGGGAGGCAGCGGUGGGGAAUAUGGCACAAUGGGGGGAAGCCUGAUGCAGCGACGCCGGGUGAGGGAUGACGGCCUUCGGGUUGUAAACCUCUUUCAGCAAGGAAGAAGCGAUAGUGACGGUACGUGCAGAAGAAGCGCCGGCUAACUACGUG